UACGUAGGGGGCAAGCGUUGUCCGGAUUUAUUGGGCGUAAAGAGCGUGUAGGCGGCCAGGUAGGUCCGUUGUGAAAACUCGAGGCUCAACCUCGAGACGUCGAUGGAAACCAUCUGGCUAGAGUCCGGAAGAGGAGACUGGAAUUCAUGGUGUAGCAGUGAAAUGCGUAGAGAUCAUGAGGAAGACCAGUGGCGAAGGCGGGUCUCUGGACAGUUCCUGACACUGAGGCACGAAGGCCAGGGGAGCAAACGGG
RNAcentral lists this ribosomal RNA (253 nucleotides) under uncultured bacterium. Its description in RNAcentral is "partial 16S ribosomal RNA". It matches the Rfam family "Bacterial small subunit ribosomal RNA", at positions 524 to 776 of the family's 1533-position model. The record is from RNAcentral.